GGUUCGGUGGUGGGAGGUUUCCACAUCUGCAUUUCUUUCGGGAUUGCGGUAUAUGUAGAGAGCAGAAGAUGCCUGUUCGAAUCCGGCCUGGGCCA
This is a non-coding RNA of Mycena olivaceomarginata, 95 nucleotides long. Lineage: Eukaryota; Fungi; Basidiomycota; Agaricomycetes; Agaricales; Mycenaceae. The record is from the annotation of a GenBank genome assembly.